This is a long non-coding RNA of Balaenoptera ricei (Rice's whale), 363 nucleotides long. RefSeq lists it as uncharacterized. The transcript is spliced from 3 exons. The record is from RefSeq and is a predicted model, not a curated record. Lineage: Eukaryota; Metazoa; Chordata; Mammalia; Artiodactyla; Balaenopteridae.
CAGUGCCUGAAGGUUCCUGUCAGUCAACCACUCACUAACACUUGAUGUUACCAGGCUUUCUAAUUUGUCCUAAUCAGGCUUCUGACCAACCAGAGAAGUCAUUCACUACUACCAAUGAGCAAGUAUUCUUACCUCAGGCUACUUCUCUUUACAUACUAAGUGGACGAGCACCUACAACCUGAGCUCUGACCUUUGGGAGGAUUUCUCCUUGGAGGAUUACCUGUCUUUCAGCACCACCUGGACUGCACCUGCACCAGAGCUCUUUCCUGAGUCCAUUCAAAGCUGGCAGCAUCACCUGGUAUAUGGGUCAGGUGAGUAUUUCCAAGUUUCAAAUAUGCAUCCUCCAGAACCCAAAUAUGAUUA